UUUUCAACCCAGGCCAUUCUAUGAUUCUAUGGCACGAUUCUACCAUCAGUGCUGUGCUUCAUAUUGAAAUACUACAAUACAAGCAAGAAUACCGUUGUAUAAAACAUAUUUAAUGAUCACUUUAGGAAAAUAUUUCCAUCUGAAAAACAAUUAUACAUAAAAAUGAAAGAAAAAAUAGAUUUGUAGCAAAACAUUCUUACAGUAAAGCACACCAACAUUUUGGGCAUAAACCCAUCCCUUAUGAUGAGUUUUGAUUUUAGUCUGAACCUUUACUUUUGUGAUCACCAUUAUAGGCAAAGGAAUAGGCAAAGCUCAGCUAUCAGCCCACAGCCCAUCAGCUUUUGGAGCACAAUGACGAAACAAACAAGAUGCCUUCUAGAUCUUCUGCCUUGGAAGCAAUUGGGUAACCAUCAGAUAAGAUGCAAUACCAUGAAGACAGAAAGCAGUGCACAGGAGCUGUCUGAAGCACAUGCAUCAGUGAUUCGGCCAUAGCAAAAGUGCUCAGCAGACAGAUGAUACCACUAACUUCCAGUGAGCUACGUGGGUGCAAAUGAAGGAAUUCUUGAAGUCAGACACACAACUGACAGCCUCAACCCGAAUUUCUCUCUCUGCACCCAACUUCUUUAUCUUUCUGUCUUAACUGCACGCUACACAAGAACUUAUAUGACUGGCAAGUACUGAUAAUUUCUGAAGCUCUCAAAACUACUGCUUUUACCACAGAACAGCAGGAUUUGUGUAGACAAGUUAAUUUUUUCCAUCUCUGUCAGUGCACUGCCAAAUCAUCACAGAUAGCAGCUGAAAAAGUAUCACAAAACCCAGAAAAGGGAGCAACUGGAAUGCAUGACAGCAUAUGCUGCCAGCCACCAGCUGGAUCUCACUAUGACCUUUACAGUCUUUGACGUUAACACUGAUAUGACCACGGAAAUUAUAUAUUUGCUAGGAUUAGUUUUAAACUAAGUAAUUUUCCUCAUUCAGUAGACCACUUUCAUGACCUAGAAGUAUGUGGGGGAACCUAAACCAUACCACAUGGAUGGCUCACUGGAAACUACAGAGGAAGACUUCUGAUCUCAGUGCUCAGUAGAGAUCACUGAGGCUAGGUGGAGAGACACCAGCUUCCCUCUUUUGACGGGGUCACCCCAACAUCUACCUCCCAGAAUGACUUAACUCUUCCAGAAAGUCUACUAAUAAAUAUUCACAUGAUCAAUCUA
Long non-coding RNA from Phasianus colchicus (ring-necked pheasant), 1208 nucleotides. RefSeq lists it as uncharacterized. Lineage: Eukaryota; Metazoa; Chordata; Aves; Galliformes; Phasianidae. The record is from RefSeq and is a predicted model, not a curated record.